GGGAGCAUAUGGGUGCUGGUGUGCCCCGCGGUCUUCAAAACCGUUGCGAGGGGUUAAGAGCUUCUCCGGUGAGUUCGAUUCUCACAUGUUCCCGCCA
Molecule: transfer RNA, 97 nt
Filed under: Clostridiaceae bacterium
Lineage: Bacteria; Bacillati; Bacillota; Clostridia; Eubacteriales; Clostridiaceae
Description: tRNA-Sec
Rfam family: Selenocysteine transfer RNA
Source: RNAcentral